AACGUAGGACGCGAACGUUAUCCGGAGUUACUGGGCGUAAAGCGCGUGCAGGCGGUUGAGUAAGUUACCUAUGAAAGCUUCCGGCUAAACUGGGAGAGGAUAGGUGAUACUGCUGAACUAGAGUGAGAAAGAGGCAAGUAGAAUUCCAGGUGUAGUGGUGAAAUGCGUAGAUAUCUGGAGGAAUACCAGUGGCGAAGGCGGCUUGCUGGUUCUCAACUGACGCUGAGACGCGAAAGCGUGGGUAGCGAACGGG
RNAcentral lists this non-coding RNA (253 nucleotides) under uncultured bacterium. RNAcentral describes it as "partial 16S ribosomal RNA". It matches the Rfam family "Bacterial small subunit ribosomal RNA", at positions 524 to 776 of the family's 1533-position model. The record is from RNAcentral. RNAcentral also lists the same sequence under 1 other name.